UUAAGCGACUAAGCGUACACGGUGGAUGCCCUGGCAGUCAGAGGCGAUGAAGGACGUGCUAAUCUGCGAAAAGCGUCGGUAAGGUGAUAUGAACCGUUAUAACCGGCGAUGUCCGAAUGGGGAAACCCAGUGUGAUUCGUCACACUAUCGUUAACUGAAUACAUAGGUUAACGAGGCGAACCGGGGGAACUGAAACAUCUAAGUACCCCGAGGAAAAGAAAUCAACCGAGAUUCCCCCAGUAGCGGCGAGCGAACGGGGAGCAGCCCAGAGUCUGAAUCAGCUUGUGUGUUAGUGGAACGGUCUGGAAAGUCCGACGGUACAGGGUGAUAGUCCCGUACACCAAAAUGCACAGGUUGUGAACUCGAAGAGUAGGGCGGGACACGUGGUAUCCUGUCUGAAUAUGGGGGGACCAUCCUCCAAGGCUAAAUACUCCUGACUGACCGAUAGUGAACCAGUACCGUGAGGGAAAGGCGAAAAGAACCCCGGCGAGGGGAGUGAAAAAGAACCUGAAACCGUGUACGUACAAGCAGUGGGAGCACCUUCGGGUGUGACUGCGUACCUUUUGUAUAAUGGGUCAGCGACUUAUAUUCUGUAGCAAGGUUAACCGUAUAGGGGAGCCGCAGGGAAACCGAGUCUUAACUGGGCGUUAAGUUGCAGGGUAUAGACCCGAAACCCGGUGAUCUAGCCAUGGGCAGGUUGAAGGUUGGGUAACACUAACUGGAGGACCGAACCGACUAAUGUUGAAAAAUUAGCGGAUGACUUGUGGCUGGGGGUGAAAGGCCAAUCAAACCGGGAGAUAGCUGGUUCUCCCCGAAAGCUAUUUAGGUAGCGCCUCGUGAACUCAUCUUCGGGGGUAGAGCACUGUUUCGGCUAGGGGGUCAUCCCGACUUACCAACCCGAUGCAAACUACGAAUACCGAAGAAUGUUAUCACGGGAGACACACGGCGGGUGCUAACGUCCGUCGUGAAGAGGGAAACAACCCAGACCGCCAGCUAAGGUCCCAAAGUCAUGGUUAAGUGGGAAACGAUGUGGGAAGGCACAGACAGCCAGGAUGUUGGCUUAGAAGCAGCCAUCAUUUAAAGAAAGCGUAAUAGCUCACUGGUCGAGUCGGCCUGCGCGGAAGAUGUAACGGGGCUAAACCAUGCACCGAAGCUGCGGCAGCGACACUAUGUGUUGUUGGGUAGGGGAGCGUUCUGUAAGCCUGCGAAGGUGACCUGUGAGGGUUGCUGGAGGUAUCAGAAGUGCGAAUGCUGACAUAAGUAACGAUAAAGCGGGUGAAAAGCCCGCUCGCCGGAAGACCAAGGGUUCCUGUCCAACGUUAAUCGGGGCAGGGUGAGUCGACCCCUAAGGCGAGGCCGAAAGGCGUAGUCGAUGGGAAACAGGUUAAUAUUCCUGUACUUGGUGUUACUGCGAAGGGGGGACGGAGAAGGCUAUGUUAGCCGGGCGACGGUUGUCCCGGUUUAAGCAUGUAGGCUGGUUGUCCAGGCAAAUCCGGAUAAUCAAGGCUGAGGUGUGAUGACGAGGCACUACGGUGCUGAAGUAACAAAUGCCCUGCUUCCAGGAAAAGCCUCUAAGCAUCAGGUAACAUCAAAUCGUACCCCAAACCGACACAGGUGGUCAGGUAGAGAAUACCAAGGCGCUUGAGAGAACUCGGGUGAAGGAACUAGGCAAAAUGGUGCCGUAACUUCGGGAGAAGGCACGCUGGUGUGUAGGUGAAGCCCCUGCGGGUGGAGCUGAGACCAGUCGAAGAUACCAGCUGGCUGCAACUGUUUAUUAAAAACACAGCACUGUGCAAACACGAAAGUGGACGUAUACGGUGUGACGCCUGCCCGGUGCCGGAAGGUUAAUUGAUGGGGUUAUCCGUAAGGAGAAGCUCUUGAUCGAAGCCCCGGUAAACGGCGGCCGUAACUAUAACGGUCCUAAGGUAGCGAAAUUCCUUGUCGGGUAAGUUCCGACCUGCACGAAUGGCGUAAUGAUGGCCAGGCUGUCUCCACCCGAGACUCAGUGAAAUUGAACUCGCUGUGAAGAUGCAGUGUACCCGCGGCAAGACGGAAAGACCCCGUGAACCUUUACUAUAGCUUGACACUGAACAUUGAGCCUUGAUGUGUAGGAUAGGUGGGAGGCUUUGAAGCGUGGACGCCAGUCUGCGUGGAGCCAACCUUGAAAUACCACCCUUUAAUGUUUGAUGUUCUAACGUUGGCCCCUGACCGGGGUUGCGGACAGUGUCUGGUGGGUAGUUUGACUGGGGCGGUCUCCUCCCAAAGCGUAACGGAGGAGCACGAAGGUUAGCUAAUCCUGGUCGGACAUCAGGAGGUUAGUGCAAUGGCAUAAGCUAGCUUGACUGCGAGCGUGACGGCGCGAGCAGGUGCGAAAGCAGGUCAUAGUGAUCCGGUGGUUCUGAAUGGAAGGGCCAUCGCUCAACGGAUAAAAGGUACUCCGGGGAUAACAGGCUGAUACCGCCCAAGAGUUCAUAUCGACGGCGGUGUUUGGCACCUCGAUGUCGGCUCAUCACAUCCUGGGGCUGAAGUAGGUCCCAAGGGUAUGGCUGUUCGCCAUUUAAAGUGGUACGCGAGCUGGGUUUAGAACGUCGUGAGACAGUUCGGUCCCUAUCUGCCGUGGGCGCUGGAGAAUUGAGGGGGGCUGCUCCUAGUACGAGAGGACCGGAGUGGACGCAUCACUGGUGUUCGGGUUGUCAUGCCAAUGGCACUGCCCGGUAGCUAAAUGCGGAAGAGAUAAGUGCUGAAAGCAUCUAAGCACGAAACUUGCCCCGAGAUGAGUUCUCCCUGAGACUUUAAGUCUCCUGAAGGAACGUUAAAGACGAUGACGUUGAUAGGCCGGGUGUGUAAGCGCAGCGAUGCGUUGAGCUAACCGGUACUAAUGAACCGUGAGGCUUAACCUU
This 2900-nucleotide ribosomal RNA is filed under the name Klebsiella pneumoniae subsp. pneumoniae LCT-KP214. RNAcentral's name for it is "bacterial LSU rRNA". It matches the Rfam family "Bacterial large subunit ribosomal RNA". The record is from RNAcentral. RNAcentral also lists the same sequence under 1 other name. Lineage: Bacteria; Pseudomonadati; Pseudomonadota; Gammaproteobacteria; Enterobacterales; Enterobacteriaceae.